UAUUGCAGUGUCAAUCUCAAUCAAACUAUGAAUUCUUUCUCCAAUAUCCUCGGAAGCAAGUCUUCAUGUGAUUAACUAUUGCAUUUCUUUGCUAACAGAUUAUUACCUGCUCACUGAUUUUCAGUAAAAUAGUCCUUUUUAUAUUAAUUUUUAUAUUGUUUUAUGCCUAUAUUUUGUAUGCUCCUGUACUACCUGUUAUUGUUUUUCUGUUCAGAUUCCUCUAAGCUCUGUCACUUCGAUUAUUGAUGGCUUGAAGAAACUAUAUAUUGAAAAAUUAAAGCCAUUGGAAGUUACCUAUCAAUUUAAUGAUUUUGCUUCUCCUUUGCUGGGGCUCAUAUAGGACCGGAGCCCACAACCGAUAGAUUUAUUGUUGUCAUGGCUUAUGUGAACUACCUGACUUUGGAGGCUUUCCA
Long non-coding RNA from Asparagus officinalis (garden asparagus), 413 nucleotides. RefSeq lists it as uncharacterized. NCBI's taxonomy places the organism in Eukaryota, Viridiplantae, Streptophyta, Magnoliopsida, Asparagales, Asparagaceae. The transcript is spliced from 3 exons. The record is from RefSeq and is a predicted model, not a curated record.